RNAcentral lists this ribosomal RNA (252 nucleotides) under uncultured bacterium. RNAcentral describes it as "partial 16S ribosomal RNA". It matches the Rfam family "Bacterial small subunit ribosomal RNA", at positions 524 to 776 of the family's 1533-position model. The record is from RNAcentral.
UACGUAGGGGGCAAGCGUUGUCCGGAAUCAUUGGGCGUAAAGAGCGUGUAGGCGGCUCGGUAAGUCCGCUCUGAAAGCCCGGGGCUCAACCCCGGGAGGCGGGCGGAUACUGUCGGGCUAGAGUCCGGAAGAGGCGAGUGGAAUUCCUGGUGUAGCGGUGAAAUGCGCAGAUAUCAGGAGGAACACCAUGCGGAAGGCAGCUCGCUGGGACGGUACUGACGCUGAGACGCGAAAGCGUGGGGAGCAAACAGG